Molecule: ribosomal RNA, 221 nt
Filed under: Mugilidae sp.
Lineage: Eukaryota; Metazoa; Chordata; Actinopteri; Mugiliformes; Mugilidae
Description: partial small subunit ribosomal RNA
Source: RNAcentral
GUCGGUAAAACUCGUGCCAGCCACCGCGGUUAUACGAGAGGCCCAAGUUGACAGCCAUCGGCGUAAAGAGUGGUUAAGUUAACCCCAAUAUAACUAAAGUCGAACGCCCCCAAGACCGUAGUACGUCCUUCGGAGGUAUGAAGCCCAACUACGAAAGUGGCUUUAAAAUGCCUGACCCCACGAAAGCUGUGAAACAAACUGGGAUUAGAUACCCCACUAUG